Long non-coding RNA from Capsicum annuum, 1473 nucleotides. RefSeq lists it as uncharacterized. NCBI's taxonomy places the organism in Eukaryota, Viridiplantae, Streptophyta, Magnoliopsida, Solanales, Solanaceae. The transcript has 2 exons. The record is from RefSeq and is a predicted model, not a curated record.
GUGUCUUUUAGUUGUAAAAAUGGGCCCUGUAGUCCUGCUGCCGCACCAAACAUAGUCCAAAGCGUAAAGGCAACAGGACAAGUGAUAAAAAGGUGUUCAAAGGAUUCAUGAACUGACCUCCCACAAUAUUAGGGAUGGCAAUGGGGAGGUGUGGGUGUCGGUGUGGAUUUUAAGCUAUACGAGGCAGGGUGAGUUAAAGUAAUUUUUGUUUUAAAUGAUGUGGUGUGGGUUGCAGGUAUAUGCGGGUUUAAAUUAAAAAAAAAAAAAAAUUAGUGUUAUUCUCGUGAAUAUACCUAAAAUUAUACGCAUUUUUUACUUAAAAUUUUAUGAUACUUAAAAUGACAUGUAUAACUCUAUAAAUAAAUAAUUUUAUAGCUUUUUUAAUAUCUCUAUUCAUUUUUUAAAAAAUAUAAUAUUUGAUCAUUACUUGUACACGUAAUACUUUUUGACAAUUUCUUAAUGAAAAGUGAUAUAAUAGAAAUUAGUUGUUAUUAUUUCCUAAUUGUAGAUUUGAAAAUAUUAUGAUUUCAAUGGAGUUACGAAUUUUUCAAAAAAAAAUAAAAAAUAAAAACAUGGGGCGGGGCGGGUAUGUGCGGGUAUGAGUGUGGGAUGGGUUUAUGCGAAUUUAAAGGUGAUACGGUGCAGUGCGAUUUUAAAAUUUGUGGGUUUAGAGAAAACCCACACCGCACCAUUGCCAUCCCUACACAAUAUUGACAAUUCGCAACCUCCACUAGACUUGUAAGAAAAUCCCCAAUUGGAAUCCUUUUCUCCCACAAUCUCCAAAAGAAAAAGGAACCUUAAAAAGAAUACCUUUCUCCCACAUAAGUUUAUACUCCUAAUGCAAAGUUCCAGGCUGUCUCAUAAUUUCCCAAGCACUGCUGGCAGAGAAUUUGCCUGAAUUGUGUAGCAUCCACCAAGGAAUGAAAAAGAUACAUUCUAGCAGACACAAAGCAUUGAAGAAUCUCCAGAUGCUCGCCUGGCCUUUGCCAAGUAGAUUAGAUUACAUAGAUUUUAACAUCUACUUCUUAAUAUGGAGAGACAGAUGUAGAGAUUCCAGUUUUGUGGGAGAACAGCAAAAGAACGCAAAAUUUAGCAUAUCCCCUGCCCAGACGGUAUUUUCAGUGAUUCUAAUUUAUUUAUAAAUCUUGUACGAACUAAUUCAUUUGGAAAUGUGGAGAUUCAAGUGCUUAUAAUCCAGUCGAUCUCAGAUUCGUGAACCUGACUGCUGAGAAUAUAACUGAGAAGCGUUAGGAAGGUUUGGAUUGGACCAGUUGAGUGAUUCCACUUUAAUUUCCAGCAUAGCAUCGAUGCUUUAAUCCCAAAAAUAAAUUUUACUGACACUUGAAGUUCAUUAUGCAAUGCUGUCAUCUCUACAUCUUUACAGUUCAAAUGUGUAAAUAUCAAUAACUUGUAAAUAGUUGUAAUCACACUCUGGGUAUUAAAUGAUCAGAAAUUUGAUCCUGUUUUUGAUCA